GAUAAACGCUGGCGGCGUGCUUAACACAUGCAAGUCGAACGAAGUUUUUCCUUCGGGAGUACCUUAGUGGCGGACGGGUGAGUAACGCGUGGGUAACCUGCCCUGUACAGGGGGACAACAGCUGGAAACGGCUGCUAAUACCGCAUAAGCACUUAGCACUGCAUGGUGCAUAGGGAAAAGGAGCAAUCCGGUACAGGAUGGACCCGCGUCUGAUUAGCCAGUUGGCAGGGUAACGGCCUACCAAAGCGACGAUCAGUAGCCGAUCUGAGAGGAUGUACGGCCACAUUGGGACUGAGACACGGCCCAGACUCCUACGGGAGGGAGCAGUGGGGAAUAUUGCACAAUGGAGGAAACGCUGAUGCAGCGACGCCGCGUGAGUGAAGAAGUAUUUCGGUAUGUAAAGCUCUAUCAGCAGGGAAGAAAAUGACGGUACCUGACUAAGAAGCACCGGCUAAAUACGUG
RNAcentral lists this ribosomal RNA (462 nucleotides) under uncultured bacterium. RNAcentral's name for it is "partial 16S ribosomal RNA". It matches the Rfam family "Bacterial small subunit ribosomal RNA", at positions 28 to 507 of the family's 1533-position model. The record is from RNAcentral.